UCAAAAUUGUAGCUUUAAAUUCAAAUUCAAAUUCAAAAUUCUAAUUUCUAGUUAGUUUAAAAUUUUAAUUUUAAUAUUAAUUUCAAAUUUAAAUUUAAAAUUUUUGAAUUUUUAUUUUAGGGGACUAAAGUGAAAAUUGUGCACAGUUUUAAGGACCAAAAUUGACAUGCAAAAGAAAGCCAAGUAGGCGCUGACGUGGCGAUUCCGUUAAUUUUAACAUUUUUUUAACAGCUGGGACAUAAUUGCAAUAAAAUUAAGAGAUUGGAAACUCGAUUGCAAAAAAAAGAUUAGAGACCUAAGUGAAAAAUGGUACAAAGGUUAGGGACCAAUGACGUAAUUAACCCUAACUUAAU
This 353-nucleotide long non-coding RNA is filed under the name Ananas comosus (pineapple). RNAcentral's name for it is "long non-coding RNA (ACOM_LNC015342)". Lineage: Eukaryota; Viridiplantae; Streptophyta; Magnoliopsida; Poales; Bromeliaceae. The record is from RNAcentral.